RNAcentral lists this long non-coding RNA (296 nucleotides) under Phoenix dactylifera (date palm). RNAcentral's name for it is "long non-coding RNA (PDAC_LNC008074)". The record is from RNAcentral. Lineage: Eukaryota; Viridiplantae; Streptophyta; Magnoliopsida; Arecales; Arecaceae.
AGAGGAUAGGGACAUUAUUAGGGAUCUAAAGGCUGAAGGUUAUGAAGAUAGAAAGGUUGAAGAAGACAGUCAAUUUAUAACUAGAUGGUGCCCAAUGGAUUCAUUUUGAUUACAAGAUCUUUGGAGAUUGGGUCAUAAUAGUUUUCAAGAGGUUACCUAUACUACAUUGGCACAUGGACACUACAUUGAGGGAGAUGAAAGGAGUCCAUGGCAUGCCAUACAAAGAUAGAGACAAAUUUAGGAGGGAAAUCCUGAUAGGUGAAUUUAUUUGAAAUACCAUUUGGCAAUGAUAUUUC